CUGGUGCUGCACAACGCAUUGCUGGGUGGCCGGGUUGCCGACCCGACUCAGCGCGACGCGACUGCGGUGGCCGUUCGAUCGGCCGCGCGUGCC
This 93-nucleotide transfer RNA is filed under the name Rhodococcoides fascians. Its description in RNAcentral is "tRNA-Gly". Lineage: Bacteria; Bacillati; Actinomycetota; Actinomycetes; Mycobacteriales; Nocardiaceae. The record is from RNAcentral.